CAUCAUAUACUUCAGGUAGGAAAUAAUGCAAGGGUUUAAUUGCUGUGACUCUGCCUUCCCAUCUGGUAUCAGAGAGUGGUUUUAAAGUUAGAUCUUUAACAAGCUCCAUCUUUAACAAGCUCCAACUUGCCAUCGUUGGGUGGAUGUGACAAAGAGCACAUAAAGUUAUUGAAUGAUGCCAAAAGAAAUCUACUCUCAGGUAUAAAAUCGUUA
This is a non-coding RNA of Pelobates cultripes (western spadefoot toad), 213 nucleotides long. The record is from the annotation of a GenBank genome assembly. NCBI's taxonomy places the organism in Eukaryota, Metazoa, Chordata, Amphibia, Anura, Pelobatidae.